UAUGUAACAUUUACAAGUUUUUGUUUUGUUUACAAAUUCUUCUUACAAUUUACAACUCUAACAUUAAUUUACCUAUUUUUCCAUUAAUUUACUAGUUGUAUGUGUGGUUUACAAAUUUUUUGUUUUAUUUAACACUUAAUGUCAAUUUACAAGUUCUAUGUAAUUUUUCUAAAUUUUGGUUUUGUUUACAAGUUCUUCUUACAAUUUACAACUCCAACAUUAAUUUACCAAUUUUUUCAUUAAUUUACUAGUUUUAUGUGUGAUUUACACAUUUUUUGUUUCAUUUCACAAUUAAUGUCAAUUUACUAGUUGUAUGUCAUUUUUCUAAGUUUUUGUUUUGUUUACAAGUUCUUCUUGCAUUUUACAACUCCAACAUUAAUUUACUCAGUUUUCCAUCAAUUUACUAGUUUUAUGUGUGAUUUACACACUUUUUGUUUCAUUUCACACUUAAUGUCAAUUUACUAGUUGUAUGUCAUUUUUCUAAGUUUUUCACACUUAACGUCAAUUUACAAGUUCUAUGUUAUUUUUCUAAGUUUUUAUUUUGUUUACAAGUUCUUCAUCCAAUUUACAACUCUAACAUUAAUUUACUCAAUUUUCCAUCAAUUUACUAGUUUUAUGUGUGAUUUACAUAUUUUUUGUUUCAUUUCACACUUAAUGUCAAUUUAUUAGCUCUAUGUCAUUUUUCUAAUUUUGUUUUGUUUACAAGUUCUUCUUACAAUUUACAACUCCAACAUUAAUUUACCAAUUUUUUUCAUUAAUUUACUAGUUUUAUGUGUGAUUUACAUAUUUUUUGUUUCAUUUCACACUUAAUGUCAAUUUACAAGUUCUAUGUCAUUUUUCUAAGUUUUUGUUUUGUUUACAAGUUCUUCUUGCAAUUUACAACUCCAACAUUAUUUUACUCAUUUUUUCAUUAAUUUACCGGUUUUAUGUGUGAUUUACAAAUUUAUUGUUUCAUUUCACACUUAAUGUCAAUUUGCGAGUUCUGCUGUACGGCCAAGGCGGAUGUACGGUACAGCAGGUUCCAUCUGUAUAUUCCGGCAGAGCAUAUCGAUAUCGGGAUCCCACCAAGCCGGCUCAAUGAGCACCCUUUUGGCGAUCCUAGAUCCUUUAUUUUACUCAUUUUUUCAUUAAUUUACUAGUUUUAUGUGUGAUUUACAAAUUUAUUGUUUCAUUUCACACUUAAUGUCAAUUUACAAGUUCUAUGUCAUUUUUCUAAAUUUUUAUUUUGUUUACAAGUUCUUCUUAAAAUUUACAACUCCAACAUUAAUUUACUCAUUUUUCCAUCAAUUUACUAGUUUUAUGUGUGAUUUACACAUUUAUUGUUUCAUUUCACACUUAAUGUCAAUUUACAAGUUCUAUGUCAUUUUUCUAAGUUUUUGUUUUGUAUACACGUUCUUCUUGCAAUUUACAACUACAACAUUAAUUUACCAAUUUUUCCAUCAAUUUACUAGUUUUAGGUGUCAUUUACAUAUUUUUUGUUUCAUUUCACACUUAAUGUCAAUUUACAAGUUCUAUGUCAUUUUUCUAAGUUUUUGUUUUGUAUACACGUUCUUCUUGCAAUUUACAACUACAACAUUAAUUUACCAAUUUUUCCAUCAAUUUACUAGUUUUAGGUGUGAUUUACAUGUUUUUUUGUUUCAUUUCACAAUUAAUGUCAAUUUACUAGUUGUAUGUCAUUUUUCUAAGUUUUUGUUUUGUUUACAAUUUCUUCUUAUAAUUUACAACUCCAACAUUAAUUUACUAGUUUUUUUUCUAUUUUUUAUUUUUUUUUAAAUUUUGUAGACCAAUUUACCACUCUAACGUUGAUUAUUGGCAUUUUAUGAUUUAGAUAGAAUGAUAUAAGGGUGGGCAUGAGUUGGGUUUGAUAGGGUUAGUGAAAUUCUAACCUGAUCUACUUUUUAAUGAGUUGAGAUAAAAUCCAUCCAACUUAACUAAAUAAACUUGAGAUAAAAUCUACUUUCUCAUCAUCUCUUUCUUCUUCCCUCUAUUAUCAAUGGAUUGUAGAAGCUCAAAUGAAGCAAGUAGCAGCAG
This 2031-nucleotide long non-coding RNA is filed under the name Citrus sinensis (sweet orange). RNAcentral's name for it is "long non-coding RNA (CSIN_LNC004114)". The record is from RNAcentral. Lineage: Eukaryota; Viridiplantae; Streptophyta; Magnoliopsida; Sapindales; Rutaceae.